This 253-nucleotide ribosomal RNA is filed under the name uncultured bacterium. Its description in RNAcentral is "partial 16S ribosomal RNA". It matches the Rfam family "Bacterial small subunit ribosomal RNA", at positions 524 to 776 of the family's 1533-position model. The record is from RNAcentral.
UACAGAGGGGGCAAGCGUUGUUCGGAAUUACUGGGCGUAAAGGGCGCGUAGGCGGCCCGCUAAGUCGGACGUGAAAUCCCCGGGCUCAACCCGGGAACUGCGUCCGAUACUGGCAGGCUUGAAUCCGGGAGAGGGAUGCGGAAUUCCAGGUGUAGCGGUGAAAUGCGUAGAUAUCUGGAGGAACACCGGUGGCGAAGGCGGCAUCCUGGACCGGCAUUGACGCUGAGGCGCGAAAGCCAGGGGAGCAAACGGG